AGAGUUUGAUCAUGGCUCAGGACGAACGCUGGCGGCGUGCUUAACACAUGCAAGUCGAACGGAGCACCCCUGAAGGAGUUUUCGGACAACGGAUGGGAAUGCUUAGUGGCGGACUGGUGAGUAACGCGUGAGGAACCUGCCUUCCAGAGGGGGACAACAGUUGGAAACGACUGCUAAUACCGCAUGAUGCGUUGGAGCCGCAUGACUCCGACGCCAAAGAUUUAUCGCUGGAAGAUGGCCUCGCGUCUGAUUAGCUAGUUGGUGAGGUAACGGCCCACCAAGGCGACGAUCAGUAGCCGGACUGAGAGGUUGGCCGGCCACAUUGGGACUGAGAUACGGCCCAGACUCCUACGGGAGGCAGCAGUGGGGAAUAUUGGGCAAUGGACGCAAGUCUGACCCAGCAACGCCGCGUGAAGGAAGAAGGCUUUCGGGUUGUAAACUUCUUUUAAGGGGGAAGAGCAGAAGACGGUACCCCUUGAAUAAGCCACGGCUAACUACGUGCCAGCAGCCGCGGUAAUACGUAGGUGGCAAGCGUUGUCCGGAUUUACUGGGUGUAAAGGGCGUGUAGCCGGAGAGACAAGUCAGAUGUGAAAUCCACGGGCUCAACCCGUGAACUGCCUUUGAAACUGUUUCCCUUGGAUGU
RNAcentral lists this ribosomal RNA (643 nucleotides) under uncultured bacterium. Its description in RNAcentral is "bacterial SSU rRNA". It matches the Rfam family "Bacterial small subunit ribosomal RNA", at positions 8 to 649 of the family's 1533-position model. The record is from RNAcentral.